UCUUGGUCAAAAUAUGACUGAGACGGAAAUUACAGAUCUAUUAGUUUAAAACAUACAUCUAUUUGUUUAAGUCACAUAUAUAUUAAGCAAGACAUCUUAUACAUAUGUUUCAAAAAACAAUUAAUUCAUCACUAGAUUUUCGUAAUGUGAUAAAAUUUGACAUGCUGGGCAAUCAUCCGAGCCACUUACUAAUAUUUGCUUUAAAGAUUGAAAAAUAUUCCUAGUUAAUAGUAGACAUGUGGGAAUGAAUGCAUCAUAGAUUUCGAAUACGGUGAGACCCCAUGGUACAGUAACAUAAGACGUAAGAUAUAUAAGAAGAAGAAUAUUGGCUUACCAUUAAUCCAUUAUCGAUCAACAGAGUCGAAUAAUGUAACUAGUGGGAUCGUUGUUCGAUCAAGAAUUACAAUGCAAGUUGAGUCUCUAUAUAAAGGAACCCAAGCAUGCAUUGUUUGCAAGUGAGACAGUCGGAGUACAUAGAAGCACUUGAAAUUAAGGAGAAAUUAAUUAAAGAUGGCUAGCAUAUUCCAGUAAAUCCUGGGCAAAACAUUCCCUUAAAAAUGUCGAAGGUGAAUGCGCCUGAACACAUGAAUGAGUUGAAGGUUCAUUCAAGGUUGUUUUCUUAUAAUCCUCAUUCUUCCAACUUUGAAAUUGCAAACGGCAAUGCUUACUUUAAAGUUGGACAACCUGGUGAGAAAGUAGUUCCUGGAGAGAAAGGCUCUGUUACAGUCCACGUUGUUUGGGCCUAAUUCCCAUUAUCAAAUCAUGCACGGUGCAGUUACUAUUACUAUUUACUAAGUAAUACGUACUACUAGCUUCUAAAUAAGACUUGCAAUCCCUGCACUAGUGUUAAGAUGUUAACGUUAAUUUCAUAUAUAUACGCUCAUGUACUAUUUGCUUCUGCUUACAUACCGCUGCCGCUCGCUUUAGCAUCAGCGUCGCAUCUUAAUAAUACCAUAAACUCAUAUAUUUGUUAGAAUUAGAAAAAGGGUGAAGAAGAUGAAUACUAUGAAUAACGAAUCUUCUAGGCGUGUGUCGACACUUUCCCAAAAGCAAUAUUCCUACCCUACACUGAGCACGGGUUGCAAGGAAUUCACUUUCGAGAUACAAAGAAGAACAACAAAUAUCACGCUCGUUAUGAAAUUUGUCAAAUGAGUGAAAGGAAGAAAUUAUUUGUAAGAUGAUGAACUUUUGAUUUAAUUUUUGUGCAAGAGAGAGAAUCUGAUUUUUCAUCUAUCCUUCAUCAUAUGAGAGUUCUCAUAUAUAUACCAAUGCUCAAUUGUUUCUGAGAAA
Beta vulgaris subsp. vulgaris (sugar beet) is the source of this 1290-nucleotide long non-coding RNA. RefSeq lists it as uncharacterized. The record is from RefSeq and is a predicted model, not a curated record. Lineage: Eukaryota; Viridiplantae; Streptophyta; Magnoliopsida; Caryophyllales; Amaranthaceae. The transcript has 2 exons.